This 253-nucleotide ribosomal RNA is filed under the name uncultured bacterium. RNAcentral's name for it is "partial 16S ribosomal RNA". It matches the Rfam family "Bacterial small subunit ribosomal RNA", at positions 524 to 776 of the family's 1533-position model. The record is from RNAcentral.
UACGGAGGGUGCAAACGUUGCUCGGAAUUAUUGGGCGUAAAGCGCACGUAGGCGGUUCGUUAUGUCGGAUGUGAAAGCCCCGGGCUUAACCCGGGAAGGGCAUCCGAAACUGGCGGGCUUGAGUACGGAAGAGGGUCUCGGAAUUCCCGGUGUAGAGGUGAAAUUCGUAGAUAUCGGGAGGAACACCAGUGGCGAAGGCGGAGACCUGGGCCGAUACUAACGCUGAGGUGCGAAAGCGUGGGGAGCAAACAGG